RNAcentral lists this transfer RNA (76 nucleotides) under Gammaproteobacteria bacterium. Its description in RNAcentral is "tRNA-Glu". It matches the Rfam family "tRNA". From Rfam's summary of the family: Transfer RNA (tRNA) molecules are approximately 80 nucleotides in length. Their secondary structure includes four short double-helical elements and three loops (D, anti-codon, and T loops). The record is from RNAcentral. Lineage: Bacteria; Pseudomonadati; Pseudomonadota; Gammaproteobacteria. RNAcentral also lists the same sequence under 2 other names.
GCUCCCUUCGUCUAGUGGCCCAGGACGUCGGCCUCUCACGCCGAAAACAGGGGUUCGAGUCCCCUAGGGAGCGCCA